Peromyscus maniculatus bairdii (prairie deer mouse) is the source of this 1083-nucleotide long non-coding RNA. RefSeq lists it as uncharacterized. The record is from RefSeq and is a predicted model, not a curated record. Lineage: Eukaryota; Metazoa; Chordata; Mammalia; Rodentia; Cricetidae.
UGAAUGAAACUAGAAAAAGUCAUCCUGAGUGAGGUAAUUCGGACUGAGAAAGACAAACAUGAUGAGAAAAUUGAAACUCAAGGACACCAAGAAAUUAAUUCAAAACCCUCCACCUGGAAGGGAUCUGGAACCCAAAUGUCGGGCUUUGACCUUCGUACCCUACUUUGUAUCAGUUGUCUUCAUCCAUGUCACACAGGUUGCAUGGCACUUGGUCCAUAGUAAACCCUCCAUAUACUUCAGCUUCAACUAAAAUAAGCUCUGGCAUAUGCAGGCACAAAAUCAGAAAAUUCUGGGAAGCCAUCUACUCAAGGACACAAAGCUAGCAAGACCCAUGUCCACCAUGCAACUCUUUUUCCAAGAAUGUCACACCACCCUUUCCAAUGUAUCCCUUAGGAAGUAUGAUGAAGGAAAAUGACACCAAUAUGAAAACAUUCUUUUCUUCUUUGGAAAGGAAAGCACUGUUCUUAAAUAAAAGAGUACUUCUGAUUAGAAUAUUUAUAAAGGUUAAUGAGAAACAAAAUGAACUGAAAACCAGCAGGGAAAUAUUCCCAGAUGUAAAUAACAAACUUCUACAGUUCUAAUUAUAUAAGAAAACAUCCCAAGCAGAAAGUCAAUUUAUUUUCAUCAGAUACAAGGGGAUCAGCAAAGUAAGACUUCUGCCACUGUCUGUCUGUACUUUGUGAAGUUCUGACACUGGAGCCAGCUGCCCUCUGCAUAGGCAAAUAGUUACAGAUGGCUGGAGAGGUGGCUGAGAGAAGAAUGAAGUCACCACCGUUACAGUGAAGAACUUAACAAAAUCAAGGAAGACCGUUGGGGAUUCUUAUUUUUUUCUCAGACAGUGAGAAAGGACAAAAAUGAGUGGGAAUGAUUCUUCUGUGUGAGUGCAAAAACAAGUUUGGGAAAGUUGAUAUGCUGUAUUCUCCAGAAGUUUUCUACAUUAUAGAGUCAUGAUCCCUGAAUCAAAGGCCCUGGGGACAUCUGAUCAUCACCAUAGUCAAGUGCCAUAGUCCCAGUGGCAACAGAUCUUUUUGCAGUUUGGGAGAAACCAUAGUAUGACAUAAACAUGUGAUGUUCAGUAGAUAA